RNAcentral lists this ribosomal RNA (611 nucleotides) under Nocardia sp. RNAcentral's name for it is "bacterial SSU rRNA". It matches the Rfam family "Bacterial small subunit ribosomal RNA", at positions 95 to 720 of the family's 1533-position model. The record is from RNAcentral. Lineage: Bacteria; Bacillati; Actinomycetota; Actinomycetes; Mycobacteriales; Nocardiaceae.
GCGGCGAACGGGUGAGUAACACGUGGGUGAUCUGCCUCGUACUUCGGGAUAAGCCUGGGAAACUGGGUCUAAUACCGGAUAUGACCUUCGGAUGCAUGUCUGAGGGUGGAAAGAUUUAUCGGUACGAGAUGGGCCCGCGGCCUAUCAGCUUGUUGGUGGGGUAAUGGCCUACCAAGGCGACGACGGGUAGCCGGCCUGAGAGGGCGACCGGCCACACUGGGACUGAGACACGGCCCAGACUCCUACGGGAGGCAGCAGUGGGGAAUAUUGCACAAUGGGCGAAAGCCUGAUGCAGCGACGCCGCGUGAGGGAUGACGGCCUUCGGGUUGUAAACCUCUUUCGACAGGGACGAAGCGCAAGUGACGGUACCUGUAGAAGAAGCACCGGCCAACUACGUGCCAGCAGCCGCGGUAAUACGUAGGGUGCGAGCGUUGUCCGGAAUUACUGGGCGUAAAGAGCUUGUAGGCGGUUCGUCGCGUCGUUCGUGAAAACUUGGGGCUCAACCCCAAGCUUGCGGGCGAUACGGGCGGACUAGAGUACUUCAGGGGAGACUGGAAUUCCUGGUGUAGCGGUGAAAUGCGCAGAUAUCAGGAGGAACACCGGUGGCGAAG